RNAcentral lists this ribosomal RNA (255 nucleotides) under uncultured bacterium. RNAcentral describes it as "partial 16S ribosomal RNA". It matches the Rfam family "Bacterial small subunit ribosomal RNA", at positions 524 to 776 of the family's 1533-position model. The record is from RNAcentral.
UACGUAGGGUGCGAGCGUUGUCCGGAAUUAUUGGGCGUAAAGAGCUUGUAGGCGGUUUGUCGCGUCUGAUGUGAAAUCUAUGGGCUCAACUCAUAGUCUGCAUCGGAAACUGCCGGGCUUGAGUAUGGGAGAGGUGAGUGGAAUUCCUGGUGUAGCGGUGAAAUGCGUAGAUAGUCAGGAGGAACACCUGUGGCGAAAGCGGCUCACUGGACCAUAACUGACGCUGAUGCACGAAAGCCUAGGGGAGCAAACAGG